RNAcentral lists this ribosomal RNA (442 nucleotides) under uncultured bacterium. Its description in RNAcentral is "SSU rRNA". It matches the Rfam family "Bacterial small subunit ribosomal RNA", at positions 26 to 518 of the family's 1533-position model. The record is from RNAcentral.
AGAGCGAACGCUGGCGGCAGGCCUAACACAUGCAAGUCGAACGGCUCUUCGGAGCAGUGGCGGACGGGUGAGUAACACGUGGGAACGUGCCUUUUGGUUCGGAACAACACAGGGAAACUUGUGCUAAUACCGGAUGAGCCCUACGGGGGAAAGAUUUAUCGCCGAAAGAGCGGCCCGCGUUAGAUUAGCUAGUUGGUGGGGUAAAGGCCCACCAAGGCUACGAUCUAUAGCUGGUCUGAGAGGAUGAUCAGCCACACUGGGACUGAGACACGGCCCAGACUCCUACGGGAGGCAGCAGUGGGGAAUCUUGCGCAAUGGGCGAAAGCCUGACGCGGCCAUGCCGCGUGAAUGAUGAAGGUCUUAGGAUUGUAAAAUUCUUUUAGCAGGGACGAUAAUGACGGUACCUGCAGAAAAGCCCGGCUAACUUCGUGCCAGCAGCCGC